RNAcentral lists this ribosomal RNA (465 nucleotides) under uncultured bacterium. RNAcentral's name for it is "bacterial SSU rRNA". It matches the Rfam family "Bacterial small subunit ribosomal RNA", at positions 355 to 825 of the family's 1533-position model. The record is from RNAcentral.
UGGGGAAUAUUGGGCAAUGGAGGGAACUCUGACCCAGCCAUGCCGCGUGCAGGAUGAAGGCGUUAUGCGUUGUAAACUGCUUUUAUAUAGGAAGAAAUAGUCCUUGCGAGGAAAGUUGACGGUACUAUAUGAAUAAGCACCGGCUAACUCCGUGCCAGCAGCCGCGGUAAUACGGAGGGUGCAAGCGUUGUCCGGAUUUAUUGGGUUUAAAGGGUGCGUAGGCGGUUUAUUAAGUCAGUGGUGAAAGACGGUCGCUCAACGAUUGCAGUGCCAUUGAUACUGGUAGACUUGAGUAUGAUUGAGGUAGCUGGAAUGGAUAGUGUAGCGGUGAAAUGCAUAGAUAUUAUCCAGAACACCAAUUGCGUAGGCAAGUUACUAAGUCAUAACUGACGCUGAGGCACGAAAGUGUGGGUAUCAAACAGGAUUAGAUACCCAGUAGUCCCUGAGCGGGCUGGCAAGGCGCAU